Molecule: non-coding RNA, 101 nt
Organism: Podospora conica
Lineage: Eukaryota; Fungi; Ascomycota; Sordariomycetes; Sordariales; Podosporaceae
Source: the annotation of a GenBank genome assembly
GCCCGCUUGGCUCAGUGGUAGAGCGUGUCACUAGUAACUGUCCUUCGCAAGAAGUUCUCGGUCACAUGACAAGGUCGCCAGUUCGAUUCUGGUAGUGGGCA